UACAGAGGUGGCAAGCGUUGUUCAGAAUUACUGGGCGUAAAGGGCGCGUAGGCGGCCUUCUAAGUCAGACGUGAAAUCCCCCGGCUUAACCUGGGAACUGCGUCUGAUACUGGGAGGCUUGAGUAUGGGAGAGGGAUGUAGAAUUCCAGGUGUAGCGGUGAAAUGCGUAGAUAUCUGGAGGAAUACCGGUGGCGAAGGCGGCAUCCUGGACCAUAACUGACGCUGAGGCGCGAAAGCUAGGGGAGCAAACGGG
RNAcentral lists this ribosomal RNA (253 nucleotides) under uncultured bacterium. RNAcentral describes it as "partial 16S ribosomal RNA". It matches the Rfam family "Bacterial small subunit ribosomal RNA", at positions 524 to 776 of the family's 1533-position model. The record is from RNAcentral.